RNAcentral lists this ribosomal RNA (254 nucleotides) under uncultured bacterium. RNAcentral describes it as "partial 16S ribosomal RNA". It matches the Rfam family "Bacterial small subunit ribosomal RNA", at positions 524 to 776 of the family's 1533-position model. The record is from RNAcentral.
CACGUAGGCACCAAGCGUUGUCCGGAUUUAUUGGGCGUAAAGAGCUCGUAGGCGGUUCAGUAAGUCGGGUGUGAAAACUUUGGGCUUAACCCAAAGCGUGCAUCCGAUACUGCUGUGACUUGAGUUCGGUAGGGGGGUGGGGAAUUCCUAGUGUAGCGGUGAAAUGCGCAGAUAUUAGGAGGAACACCAGUGGCGAAGGCGGUGUUCUGGGCCUGUACUGACGCUAAAGCGCGAAAGCGUGGGGAGCGAACAGG